GAUGUCCAGGCCUUCCACAGUCUUAAGAAGGGGUGUUGGGGUCAGGGGUCAUCAGCUGUGGCUCUGACCCUCCAUCUCAGUCCAGACCUCAGCAUGGCUCUAGGUCACAGGCAGUGAUUCUGAAUAUGCAUUUCUUCCAGAAACUCCACUUGGAAAUGUUGGCAGACCAGCCACGAACAACUAAAUACCACAGUGUCAUCCUGCAGAAUAAAGAAUCCCUGACGGAUAAAGUCAUCCUGGACGUGGGCUGUGGGACUGGGAUCAUCAGUCUCUUCUGUGCACACUAUGCGCGGCCUAAAGCGGUGUACGCGGUGGAGGCCAGUGAGAUGGCACAGCACACGGGGCAGCUGGUCCUGCAGAAUGGCUUUGCCGACAUCAUCACCGUGUUCCAGCAGAAGGUGGAGGAUGUGGUGCUGCCUGAGAAGGUGGACGUGCUGGUGUCUGAGUGGAUGGGGACCUGCCUGCUGGUGAGGGCGGGUGUGCGGGCAGCUGGGGGCCGGAGCUGGGGGGCUUCUGAGCACAGGCUCGUCUGGGCCAACCUCAGGAUCUCAAGGGUCGUGCAUGAUUCAUUUUGAUGUUUUCCCUAAUGUGAGGUAUAAUUAAUUUCUUGUGUGGA
This 616-nucleotide small RNA is filed under the name Pongo abelii (Sumatran orangutan). RNAcentral describes it as "processed transcript". The record is from RNAcentral. Lineage: Eukaryota; Metazoa; Chordata; Mammalia; Primates; Hominidae.